This 473-nucleotide ribosomal RNA is filed under the name Streptomycetales bacterium CL2.53. RNAcentral's name for it is "bacterial SSU rRNA". It matches the Rfam family "Bacterial small subunit ribosomal RNA", at positions 1 to 497 of the family's 1533-position model. Lineage: Bacteria; Bacillati; Actinomycetota; Actinomycetes; Kitasatosporales. The record is from RNAcentral.
UGAGCUUGAUCCCUGGCUCAGGACGAACGCUGGCGGCGUGCUUAACACAUGCAAGUCGAACGAUGAAGCCCUUCGGGGUGGAUUAGUGGCGAACGGGUGAGUAACACGUGGGCAAUCUGCCCUUCACUCUGGGACAAGCCCUGGAAACGGGGUCUAAUACCGGAUAUUACUCCUGCCUGCAUGGGCGGGGGUUGAAAGCUCCGGCGGUGAAGGAUGAGCCCGCGGCCUAUCAGCUUGUUGGUGGGGUAAUGGCCCACCAAGGCGACGACGGGUAGCCGGCCUGAGAGGGCGACCGGCCACACUGGGACUGAGACACGGCCCAGACUCCUACGGGAGGCAGCAGUGGGGAAUAUUGCACAAUGGGCGAAAGCCUGAUGCAGCGACGCCGCGUGAGGGAUGACGGCCUUCGGGUUGUAAACCUCUUUCAGCAGGGAAGAAGCGAAAGUGACGGUACCUGCAGAAGAAGCGCCGGC